CUCAGGUGAGGCGGUGUUGGUUCCUGUCUAUGACAGGCGAAGAGGGAAUGCGACAGGCUUUGCGACCAUUCAUUGGUCCAAGUCGAAGCGCAGCCGCCCCCGCGACCGUGACCGGAGAGGUCCCCGUGCCACUGGCCCAAAGGCCGGGAAGGCAGGCGGGCCACCGGGGCAGACGCCCCGAAAUCCGCAAGCCGGGAGACCUGCCAACGCAUGUUGACGCAA
RNAcentral lists this non-coding RNA (222 nucleotides) under Actibacterium lipolyticum. The record is from RNAcentral. Lineage: Bacteria; Pseudomonadati; Pseudomonadota; Alphaproteobacteria; Rhodobacterales; Roseobacteraceae.